GAAGAAAUAGUUUAUUGCCCGUAUCACUUAGUUUCCUGCCUAGCAAUAAAGAUACAAUGUUUAGCGAGAAGGAGGAGACUCCACCCAAAGUGAGGAUUCACCACGAUUUGCAGUCGAACUAGAGAUUACAAAUCAGUGAAACAGGAGCCGGCACCAGAAACAAGCCACAGGAUUCCUAAGGAACAGUGGUGGCUGAAGCUUUUCCCCCCCGAUGAAGAUCCUGGCCACGUAUAAGACCAGCUACGACGUGUCUGACUCUUGCCUGCUGGAGCACAUGGUCCGCAACAUCAGGGCCAAGGAGUUGGACACAUCAUAGAACUGCAUAAGAGCUCUUCACUUUCUGGAGGACAAAGAUUUGAAAUCAGUGGAAUUAGAGUAUAAUAGCUAAGAAGAUGGAGAAAACACCUGUCUCCGGAUUACAUCUUCAAACUAAGGGCAACCAUGGCAUCCAUGACAAGGAGAAGUGUCCAUCCAUGAUGUAUACAGUUAUGUCUCUGUCUCCUGUUCCACAUUACACCUACCAACUACCUUGAUCUGGAUUUUACUAACCACCACUACCUUGGAUUCCCCUGUUUACCCUGUUCUACUCAGCCAACUCCAACAUCAGUCUCC
RNAcentral lists this long non-coding RNA (612 nucleotides) under Salmo salar (Atlantic salmon). Its description in RNAcentral is "lncRNA (ENSSSAG00000116890.1)". The record is from RNAcentral. Lineage: Eukaryota; Metazoa; Chordata; Actinopteri; Salmoniformes; Salmonidae.